Molecule: ribosomal RNA, 494 nt
Filed under: uncultured bacterium
Lineage: Bacteria
Description: bacterial SSU rRNA
Rfam family: Bacterial small subunit ribosomal RNA
Source: RNAcentral
AUGAACGCUAGCGACAGGCCUAACACAUGCAAGUCAGGGGCAGCACAAGAGCAAUCUGAGGUGGCGACCGGCGCACGGGUGAGUAACACGUAUGCAACCUGCCUGUAAGCGGGGAAUAACCCGUUGAAAGACGGACUAAUACCGCAUAAUACUAAAUUACUGCAUGGUAAUUUAUUUAAACAUUUAUGGCUUACAGAUGGGCAUGCGCAUGAUUAGCUAGUUGGAGAGGUAACGGCUCCCCAAGGCAACGAUCAUUAGGGGUUCUGAGAGGAAGGUCCCCCACACUGGUACUGAGACACGGACCAGACUCCUACGGGAGGCAGCAGUGAGGAAUAUUGGUCAAUGGACGAGAGUCUGAACCAGCCAAGUCGCGUGCAGGAAGAAUGUCCUUAAUGGAUUGUAAACUGCUUUUGCAGGGGAAUAAAGUGCAUCACGUGUGAUGUUUUGUAUGUACUCUGCGAAUAAGGAUCGGCUAACUCCGUGCCAGCAGCCGC